This 19-nucleotide small nuclear RNA is filed under the name Arabidopsis thaliana (thale cress). Its description in RNAcentral is "snRNA_07796". Lineage: Eukaryota; Viridiplantae; Streptophyta; Magnoliopsida; Brassicales; Brassicaceae. The record is from RNAcentral.
GAGUCUGACAUGUGUGCGA